CGGGGGAACUUGCUGAACUGUUUCUCAGGCCAGACUGAAGAGCAAGACUCGACAGGUAGAGCUGUGGCGACCUCUGGUGGCGAAUGAUAAAACGUUUGAUUUUAAGACAAAAUGCACACGAUGCGAAUGAACCUGGUGAAAUGAUUGAUAUUUAGCCGUUGCAAUAUUUUUGGGCGGCCCGGUAGUCCAGUGGUUAGCACGUCGGCUUCACAGUGCAGAGGUACCGGGUUCGAUUCCAGCUCCGGCCUCCCUGUGUGGAGUUUGCAUGUUCUCCACGGGCCUGCGUGGGUUUUCUCCGGGUGCUCCGGUUUCCUCCCACAUUCCAAAAACAUGCAUGGCAGGCUGUUUGAACACUCUAAAUUGUCCCUAGGUGUGAGUGUGAGCGUGGAUGGUUGUUCGUCUCUGUGUGCCCUGUGAUUGGCUGGCAACCGAUUCAGGGUGUCCCCCGCCUACUGCCCGAAGACAGCUGGGAUAGGCUCCAGCACCCCCCGCGACCCUAGUGAGGAUCAAGCGGUUCGGAAGAUGAA
This is a long non-coding RNA of Hippocampus zosterae (dwarf seahorse), 527 nucleotides long. RefSeq lists it as uncharacterized. The transcript has 2 exons. Lineage: Eukaryota; Metazoa; Chordata; Actinopteri; Syngnathiformes; Syngnathidae. The record is from RefSeq and is a predicted model, not a curated record.